GGGCCUGUAGCUCAGUUGGUAGAGCACUGCGUUUACACCGCAGGCGUCGUCGGUUCGAGUCCGGCCGGGCCCACUA
RNAcentral lists this transfer RNA (76 nucleotides) under Actinomyces sp. oral taxon 848 str. F0332. RNAcentral's name for it is "tRNA-Val". It matches the Rfam family "tRNA". Rfam says of the family: Transfer RNA (tRNA) molecules are approximately 80 nucleotides in length. Their secondary structure includes four short double-helical elements and three loops (D, anti-codon, and T loops). Further hydrogen bonds mediate the characteristic L-shaped molecular structure. tRNAs have two regions of fundamental functional importance: the anti-codon, which is responsible for specific mRNA codon recognition, and the 3' end, to which the tRNAs corresponding amino acid is attached (by aminoacyl-tRNA synthetases). tRNAs cope with the degeneracy of the genetic code in two manners: having more than one tRNA (with a specific anti-codon) for a particular amino acid; and 'wobble' base-pairing, i.e. permitting non-standard base-pairing at the 3rd anti-codon position. Lineage: Bacteria; Bacillati; Actinomycetota; Actinomycetes; Actinomycetales; Actinomycetaceae. The record is from RNAcentral.